UACGUAGGGGGCUAGCGUUGUCCGGAUUUAUUGGGCGUAAAGAGCGUGUAGGCGGCCAAGUAGGUCCGGUGUGAAAACUCGAGGCUUAACCUCGAGAUGUCAUCGGAAACCAUUUGGCUAGAGUCCGGAAGAGGAAAGUGGAAUUCCUGGUGUAGCGGUGAAAUGCGUAGAUAUCGGGAGGAACAUCAAUGGCGAAGGCGGCUUUCUGGACUAAUACUGACACUGAGGCACGAAAGCGUGGGGAGCAAACAGG
This 253-nucleotide ribosomal RNA is filed under the name uncultured bacterium. RNAcentral's name for it is "partial 16S ribosomal RNA". It matches the Rfam family "Bacterial small subunit ribosomal RNA", at positions 524 to 776 of the family's 1533-position model. The record is from RNAcentral.